RNAcentral lists this ribosomal RNA (426 nucleotides) under uncultured cyanobacterium. Its description in RNAcentral is "bacterial SSU rRNA". It matches the Rfam family "Bacterial small subunit ribosomal RNA", at positions 356 to 795 of the family's 1533-position model. The record is from RNAcentral. Lineage: Bacteria; Bacillati; Cyanobacteriota.
GGGGAAUUUUCCGCAAUGGGCGAAAGCCUGACGGAGCAAUGUCGCGUGGAGGAAGAAGGCCCGUGGGUCGUAAACUCCUUUUGUCAAAGAAGAAGAAAUGACGGUAUUUGACGAAUAAGCAUCGGCUAANCCCUGUGCCAGCAGCCGCGGUAAUACAGGGGAUGCAAGCGUUAUCCGGAAUUAUUGGGCGUAAAGGGUCCUGAGGUGGCUAUCCAAGUCUAUUGUGAAAUAUCAGGGCUUAANCCCUGAACAUGCGGUGGAAACUAGAAAGCUUGAGUACAGUAGGGGCGGAGGGAAUUUCCGGUGGAGCGGUGAAAUGCAUAGAUAUAGGGAAGAACACCAACGGCGAAAGCACUCUGCUGGGCCGAUACUGACACUAACAGACGAGAGCUAGGGGAGCGAAUGGGAUUAGAUACCCCAGUAGUC